This 539-nucleotide ribosomal RNA is filed under the name Colletotrichum sp. 1 ONH-2014. RNAcentral's name for it is "eukaryotic LSU rRNA". The stretch from base 203 to 356 matches the Rfam family "5.8S ribosomal RNA". The record is from RNAcentral. Lineage: Eukaryota; Fungi; Ascomycota; Sordariomycetes; Glomerellales; Glomerellaceae.
UAACCUGCGGAGGGAUCAUUACUGAGUUACCGCUCUAUAACCCUUUGUGAACAUACCUAACCGUUGCUUCGGCGGGCAGGGGAAGCCUCUCGCGGGCCUCCCCUCCCGGCGCCGGCCCCACCACGGGGACGGGGCGCCCGCCGGAGGAAACCAAACUCUAUUUACACGACGUCUCUUCUGAGUGGCACAAGCAAAUAAUUAAAACUUUUAACAACGGAUCUCUUGGUUCUGGCAUCGAUGAAGAACGCAGCGAAAUGCGAUAAGUAAUGUGAAUUGCAGAAUUCAGUGAAUCAUCGAAUCUUUGAACGCACAUUGCGCUCGCCAGCAUUCUGGCGAGCAUGCCUGUUCGAGCGUCAUUUCAACCCUCAAGCACCGCUUGGUUUUGGGGCCCCACGGCACACGUGGGCCCUUAAAGGUAGUGGCGGACCCUCCCGGAGCCUCCUUUGCGUAGUAACUAACGUCUCGCACUGGGAUUCGGAGGGACUCUUGCCGUAAAACCCCCCAAUUUUUUACAGGUUGACCUCGGAUCAGGUAGGAAU